RNA transcript from Orbicella faveolata, 1572 nucleotides. It is a transcript of the gene named lipopolysaccharide-induced tumor necrosis factor-alpha factor homolog pseudogene, with no coding region annotated. The record is from RefSeq and is a predicted model, not a curated record. Lineage: Eukaryota; Metazoa; Cnidaria; Anthozoa; Scleractinia; Merulinidae.
GGCGUUUUACAGGCGCAGAAGGAAGUGCUAGGACUGUUACCAGUAAUUCGUGAACAUUUUGAGGUGUAUUUGUCGUCUUCCUAACUGUGGACACUACAGUUCGAAAGAUUCAACCGAUCUUUUAAAUUUGUUUGAAUUUUGUGGACAUCUAAAGUUGCUUAUCAAGCCCUUGUGAAGACCAUCACAGUCGUUGUAAUCGAUCGAAGAAUUCAUCAUGGCGGAAAAACCUCCACCGUAUCAAGCUUCAGGCUAUCCCCAGCAAGCUGGUCAGCCCGCUUACCCACAGCAACCGGGCUAUCCACAGCAACCGGGCUAUCCACAGCAACCGGGCUAUCCACAGCAACCGGGCUAUCCACAGCAACCGGGCUAUCCACCGCAACAAGGCUAUGCACCACCACAGCAGGGCUAUGCACCGCCACACGGCUAUGGGCCGCCACCUCAACAACAUAGCCAAAGCACGGCCACCACGACGAUCAUCACGCAGCCCCAAACUGUUGUAGUGGGAAGUGCUAUGUAUGGUGAAGCCCCCGUGUCCAUGGUCUGUCCUUACUGCACUGCAACCAUAGUCACGUCAGUGACGUAUACCCCUGGCACACUGACUUGGCUCGCUUGCGGAGGGCUCAUCUUGGUCGGCUGUGGGGCUGGCUGUUGCCUCAUUCCGUUUUGCAUCGAUGGCAUGCAAGAUGCUGUUCACAGUUGCCCGAAUUGCCGAAGGCAGCUCGGUGUGUUCCGUCGAAUGUAGACAACAGACGGAGGAAAAGGAAAGAACAAGAGGUGAAGGAAAAACGGCGGAACGACCAUUAAAUUUCAUUCAUUUUGUAGCCUAACAGAACUUUAAAAUAUGUAAGACUUAAUAUGUAAGCUUAACAUGUCUCUUCCCUUUUCCUUGAACAUGCAAUCUUAUUCACUUAGAUACAGUUGAACACACUUGUGUGGAUCGCAAAGUAAUGCUAAAUACUCAUUUGUUUUGAUCGUCUUUUUAGUCUUAUAACUGACAGUGGAAAAAGUGGACAUUUCCAAGGUUUCGUGAUCGAUUUUCACUGGCUUUCAUUUCAUGCCUGUUUAAUUUGAGCUUAGCAUGAAUUAAGGAAACUUACAAAGCAAAAUAGUUUUGCAACAAGGAAAAUGUGGUGAAGCAUGCAUGAUUUGGUACAAUAUAGCCUUGUUCUGUUAUUUAGUACAUAAUCAAGGUGUUUCAAUGUUUUGUUAAAAUGAUUUUAUUGAAUGUUAUAUGUUAAAAUAAAUAUAUAUCUUAGAAUAUAGUUGAUUACACUGUAAGUAGAUUGACAGUUAUUAUAAUGUUAUUGAUCUGAAGGCAAAGCAGAGAGAUAACUAGUGUAAACUUUGGACUGCAAUUGUAAGUAAAUGCUGUAGCUUUCAUGACCCAGUUGCUAGUUACAUGUAGUAAGCGGACACUGGUAAUACAUUGGAAUAUUGCUGAGGUACUGCUGCUUAACACCUGUUAAUUUUAAGACGAAUCAUAAAUGAACACAUUCGUCUCUAAUAUAUUAUUGUUUGGUGCAAAAGUAAAAACAAGAGUAAGUAAAUGUCCCUUUUUUUCUGCUAGGAAGU